GUUUGUCGAGGAGUAGGGGGUGCUGUCACUAGACCAAAGAACCUGCCCGUUACUCUCUGCGUUCGCUCUUUGCUACUCUCGAUGACCGGCCCAGGGCCUCUAGGAUCGGGCCUCAGUAGGACGCGCCGUUUCCUUGGCUACGGCGUUCUGGGUACUGGGGUUGGGACCCAAAGGCCGUCCAAACGUUCCCCUCCCUGUCCUGCCUUGUGACGGUGGUCGGCGAGGCUCAGCCCGCAGCUGGGGAACUGUUAGGCCAGAGAACGCGUUCGGUAGCGCCCCCAGCUGGGGAACUGUUAGGCCAGGAGUUCGGUAGCGCCAUAGUCGCGCGUCGUCUCCGGUACCGGCUCCCAGCGCUGUCCUGACUCGGAGGUGAACAGACCGGGCUUCCCGGACUCUGGUGCCUUCGCUGCCCAGGGCGGCGGACCCAUGGCUACCGUGACUGUGCCCCGGGAUUUCUCACCAGAAUGCUUGACUGAAUUCCCAAACCUGCCAGGAUGUUCCUCCCAGCAACCAGCAUUUCUCAGUUUCACUUUUUUUGGUCAUCCUUACCAAUCUCGCAGGAACUCCAUUCCCUGCCCAGUCCUGGCAAGGCCAGCAUGCACAAACAGACAGUUGGUGAUGUUCUCCAGGCCUGGGGAACCUGGAGAGCCUUGGGAAAGGCCACAUCUGUAGCCCAGGUUUGAGAAGAGCCCCCAGACUCAGCUACCCUUCGUGCAGAACAUGCUGAGCUUUGACUGUUUCCCUGCCUGUGGCCAGCUCUUUGUCAGCUAAGCAGACAGGGCUGCCCCCCAAAUGGAGAGUGCCCAAGGCUCCUCGCUGGAGCCUGCUGUGGGCCGGUCUGCAGCUGCCACCUUGACCUCUUAGCUGACCCAGAAGUGGGGAGCCAGCCCUCCCCAUGUGGAAGAGAGCCCCUUGGAGGAGCUGGGGCUGAACAGCCCUACUCUGCCAAGCUGCUGAGGAGAGGGAGCCAGCCCCUCAGGGCCCUCCCCGCCCUCCCCUCUCCAGCCCAGCAAUGGCUCAGAGACAUCCCAAGACAGAAGGUGCCUGGGCUU
Molecule: long non-coding RNA, 1052 nt
Organism: Sarcophilus harrisii (Tasmanian devil)
Lineage: Eukaryota; Metazoa; Chordata; Mammalia; Dasyuromorphia; Dasyuridae
Exons: 3
Source: RefSeq, a predicted model, not a curated record